RNAcentral lists this ribosomal RNA (497 nucleotides) under uncultured bacterium. RNAcentral describes it as "partial 16S ribosomal RNA". It matches the Rfam family "Bacterial small subunit ribosomal RNA", at positions 28 to 507 of the family's 1533-position model. The record is from RNAcentral.
GAUGAACGCUGGCGGCGUGCCUAAUACAUGCAAGUCGAGCGAACGGACGAUAAUCUUGCUUCUCUGCUGUUAGCGGCGGACGGGUGAGUAACACGUGGCUAACCUACCUAUAAGACUGGGAUAACUUCGGGAAACCUGAUCUCAUACCGGAUAAUAUUUUGAACCGCAUGGUUCAAAAGUGAAAGACGGUCUUGCUGUCACUUAUAGAUGUAUCCGGGCUGCAUUAGCUAGUUGGUAAGGUAACGGCUUACCAAGGCAACGAUGCAUAGCCGACCUGAGAGGGUGAUCGGCCACACUGGAACUGAGACACGGUCCAGACUCCUACGGGAGGCAGCAGUAGGGAAUCUUCCGCAAUGGGCGAAAGCCUGACGGAGCAACGCCGCGUGAGUGAUGAAGGUCUUCGGAUCGUAAAACUCUGUUAUUAGGGAAGAACAUAUGUGUAAGUAACUGUGCACAUCUUGACGGUACCUAAUCAGAAAGCCACGGCUAACUACGUG